GGGGGAAUAUUGCACAAUGGGGGGAAACCCUGAUGCAGCAACGCCGCGUGAGUGAAGAAGUAUUUCGGUAUGUAAAGCUCUAUCAGCAGGGAAGAAAAUGACGGUACCUGACUAAGAAGCCCCGGCUAACUACGUGCCAGCAGCCGCGGUAAUACGUAGGGGGCAAGCGUUAUCCGGAUUUACUGGGUGUAAAGGGAGCGCAGGCGGUCUGGCAAGUCUGAUGUGAAAUCCCGGGGCUCAACCCUGGAACUGCAUUGGAAACUGUCAGACUAGAGUGCCGGAGAGGUAAGUGGAAUUCCUAGUGUAGCGGUGAAAUGCGUAGAUAUUA
This 328-nucleotide ribosomal RNA is filed under the name uncultured Lachnospiraceae bacterium. RNAcentral's name for it is "bacterial SSU rRNA". It matches the Rfam family "Bacterial small subunit ribosomal RNA", at positions 355 to 699 of the family's 1533-position model. The record is from RNAcentral. Lineage: Bacteria; Bacillati; Bacillota; Clostridia; Lachnospirales; Lachnospiraceae.